Non-coding RNA from Cinara cedri, 220 nucleotides. The record is from the annotation of a GenBank genome assembly. Lineage: Eukaryota; Metazoa; Arthropoda; Insecta; Hemiptera; Aphididae.
UUAGGCAAUCGUCGUGUUGGAGAAUAGCUCGCGAAUAAUUCUGUUAGAGUGUAGGUAUAUAUAUAGGAGUGGGUACACCGAAAGUUCGAUUUACUUUACAGUCGUUGACAAAGUUUUACUACCUAUAGUAUAGUGUAAUUUCUCCAACAGAGGUAUACCUACAGAAGUACAAAACAAACACAUUUACCGCACGCGUACAUUAUUUUCGUUUAAUACAACU